Molecule: small RNA, 117 nt
Filed under: Marmota monax (woodchuck)
Lineage: Eukaryota; Metazoa; Chordata; Mammalia; Rodentia; Sciuridae
Source: RNAcentral
GCCGGGUGUGGUGGCACACACCUGUAAUCCCAGUGACUCAGGAGGCUGGGGCAGGAGGAUCGCAAGUUCAAAGCCAGCCUCGGCAAUGGCAAGGCUCUAAGCAACUCCCUGUCUCUA